AUACGGAGGGUGCAAGCGUUAAUCGGAAUUACUGGGCGUAAAGCGUACGUAGGCGGUUCGUUAAGUUAGAUGUGAAAGCCCCGAGCUUAACCUGGGAACUGCAUUUAAAACUGGCGAACUAGAGUUGAGUAGAGGGGAGUGGAAUUUCAGGUGUAGCGGUGAAAUGCGUAGAGAUCUGAAGGAACACCAGUGGCGAAGGCGACUCCCUGGACUCGAACUGACGCUGAGGUACGAAAGCGUGGGUAGCAAACGGGAUUAGAAACCCUAGUAGUCC
This 274-nucleotide ribosomal RNA is filed under the name uncultured bacterium. RNAcentral's name for it is "partial 16S ribosomal RNA". It matches the Rfam family "Bacterial small subunit ribosomal RNA", at positions 523 to 796 of the family's 1533-position model. The record is from RNAcentral.